This 74-nucleotide microRNA precursor is filed under the name Myotis davidii. Its description in RNAcentral is "mir-9229 microRNA precursor family". It matches the Rfam family "mir-9229 microRNA precursor family". Lineage: Eukaryota; Metazoa; Chordata; Mammalia; Chiroptera; Vespertilionidae. The record is from Rfam by way of RNAcentral.
GAGACACCCUUCUGGGGCAGGACUUGCUUCAGUGGGGCUUUGGUGCUCACUGAGUCUGCCCUGUGAGUGUCUCU